This 2918-nucleotide ribosomal RNA is filed under the name Shigella sonnei. RNAcentral's name for it is "bacterial LSU rRNA". It matches the Rfam family "Bacterial large subunit ribosomal RNA". The record is from RNAcentral. Lineage: Bacteria; Pseudomonadati; Pseudomonadota; Gammaproteobacteria; Enterobacterales; Enterobacteriaceae.
UUAAGCGACUAAGCGUACACGGUGGAUGCCCUGGCAGUCAGAGGCGAUGAAGGACGUGCUAAUCUGCGAUAAGCGUCGGUAAGGUGAUAUGAACCGUUAUAACCGGCGAUUUCCGAAUGGGGAAACCCAGUGUGAUUCGUCACACUAUCAUUAACUGAAUCCAUAGGUUAAUGAGGCGAACCGGGGGAACUGAAACAUCUAAGUACCCCGAGGAAAAGAAAUCAACCGAGAUUCCCCCAGUAGCGGCGAGCGAACGGGGAGNNNNNNNNNNNNNNNNNAGCCCAGAGCCUGAAUCAGUGUGUGUGUUAGUGGAAGCGUCUGGAAAGGCGCGCGAUACAGGGUGACAGCCCCGUACACAAAAAUACACAUAUUGUGAGCUCGAUGAGUAGGGCGGGACACGUGGUAUCCUGUCUGAAUAUGGGGGGACCAUCCUCCAAGGCUAAAUACUCCUGACUGACCGAUAGUGAACCAGUACCGUGAGGGAAAGGCGAAAAGAACCCCGGCGAGGGGAGUGAAAAAGAACCUGAAACCGUGUACGUACAAGCAGUGGGAGCACGCUUAGGCGUGUGACUGCGUACCUUUUGUAUAAUGGGUCAGCGACUUAUAUUCUGUAGCAAGGUUAACCGAAUAGGGGAGCCGAAGGGAAACCGAGUCUUAACUGGGCGUUAAGUUGCAGGGUAUAGACCCGAAACCCGGUGAUCUAGCCAUGGGCAGGUUGAAGGUUGGGUAACACUAACUGGAGGACCGAACCGACUAAUGUUGAAAAAUUAGCGGAUGACUUGUGGCUGGGGGUGAAAGGCCAAUCAAACCGGGAGAUAGCUGGUUCUCCCCGAAAGCUAUUUAGGUAGCGCCUCGUGAAUUCAUCUCCGGGGGUAGAGCACUGUUUCGGCAAGGGGGUCAUCCCGACUUACCAACCCGAUGCAAACUGCGAAUACCGGAGAAUGUUAUCACGGGAGACACACGGCGGGUGCUAACGUCCGUCGUGAAGAGGGAAACAACCCAGACCGCCAGCUAAGGUCCCAAAGUCAUGGUUAAGUGGGAAACGAUGUGGGAAGGCCCAGACAGCCAGGAUGUUGGCUUAGAAGCAGCCAUCAUUUAAAGAAAGCGUAAUAGCUCACUGGUCGAGUCGGCCUGCGCGGAAGAUGUAACGGGGCUAAACCAUGCACCGAAGCUGCGGCAGCGACGCUUAUGCGUUGUUGGGUAGGGGAGCGUUCUGUAAGCCUGCGAAGGUGUGCUGUGAGGCAUGCUGGAGGUAUCAGAAGUGCGAAUGCUGACAUAAGUAACGAUAAAGCGGGUGAAAAGCCCGCUCGCCGGAAGACCAAGGGUUCCUGUCCAACGUUAAUCGGGGCAGGGUGAGUCGACCCCUAAGGCGAGGCCGAAAGGCGUAGUCGAUGGGAAACAGGUUAAUAUUCCUGUACUUGGUGUUACUGCGAAGGGGGGACGGAGAAGGCUAUGUUGGCCGGGCGACGGUUGUCCCGGUUUAAGCGUGUAGGCUGGUUUUCCAGGCAAAUCCGGAAAAUCAAGGCUGAGGCGUGAUGACGAGGCACUACGGUGCUGAAGCAACAAAUGCCCUGCUUCCAGGAAAAGCCUCUAAGCAUCAGGUAACAUCAAAUCGUACCCCAAACCGACACAGGUGGUCAGGUAGAGAAUACCAAGGCGCUUGAGAGAACUCGGGUGAAGGAACUAGGCAAAAUGGUGCCGUAACUUCGGGAGAAGGCACGCUGAUAUGUAGGUGAAGUCCCUUGCGGAUGGAGCUGAAAUCAGUCGAAGAUACCAGCUGGCUGCAACUGUUUAUUAAAAACACAGCACUGUGCAAACACGAAAGUGGACGUAUACGGUGUGACGCCUGCCCGGUGCCGGAAGGUUAAUUGAUGGGGUCAGCGCAAGCGAAGCUCUUGAUCGAAGCCCCGGUAAACGGCGGCCGUAACUAUAACGGUCCUAAGGUAGCGAAAUUCCUUGUCGGGUAAGUUCCGACCUGCACGAAUGGCGUAAUGAUGGCCAGGCUGUCUCCACCCGAGACUCAGUGAAAUUGAACUCGCUGUGAAGAUGCAGUGUACCCGCGGCAAGACGGAAAGACCCCGUGAACCUUUACUAUAGCUUGACACUGAACAUUGAGCCUUGAUGUGUAGGAUAGGUGGGAGGCUUUGAAGUGUGGACGCCAGUCUGCAUGGAGCCGGCCUUGAAAUACCACCCUUUAAUGUUUGAUGUUCUAACGUGGACCCGUGAUCCGGGUUGCGGACAGUGUCUGGUGGGUAGUUUGACUGGGGCGGUCUCCUCCUAAAGAGUAACGGAGGAGCACGAAGGUUGGCUAAUCCUGGUCGGACAUCAGGAGGUUAGUGCAAUGGCAUAAGCCAGCUUGACUGCGAGCGUGACGGCGCGAGCAGGUGCGAAAGCAGGUCAUAGUGAUCCGGUGGUUCUGAAUGGAAGGGCCAUCGCUCAACGGAUAAAAGGUACUCCGGGGAUAACAGGCUGAUACCGCCCAAGAGUUCAUAUCGACGGCGGUGUUUGGCACCUCGAUGUCGGCUCAUCACAUCCUGGGGCUGAAGUAGGUCCCAAGGGUAUGGCUGUUCGCCAUUUAAAGUGGUACGCGAGCUGGGUUUAGAACGUCGUGAGACAGUUCGGUCCCUAUCUGCCGUGGGCGCUGGAGAACUGAGGGGGGCUGCUCCUAGUACGAGAGGACCGGAGUGGACGCAUCACUGGUGUUCGGGUUGUCAUGCCAAUGGCACUGCCCGGUAGCUAAAUGCGGAAGAGAUAAGUGCUGAAAGCAUCUAAGCACGAAACUUGCCCCGAGAUGAGUUCUCCCUGACCCUUUAAGGGUCCUGAAGGAACGUUGAAGACGACGACGUUGAUAGGCCGGGUGUGUAAGCGCAGCGAUGCGUUGAGCUAACCGGUACUAAUGAACCGUGAGGCUUAACCUU